RNAcentral lists this ribosomal RNA (507 nucleotides) under uncultured bacterium. RNAcentral's name for it is "partial 16S ribosomal RNA". It matches the Rfam family "Bacterial small subunit ribosomal RNA", at positions 28 to 507 of the family's 1533-position model. The record is from RNAcentral.
GACGAACGCUGGCGGCGUGCCUAAUACAUGCAAGUCGAGCGAAUAGACGUUGACCUUACCCCUCUGACGUGAGAGACAGAGGGGUGCGUAAGACGUGGAUAACCUACCUAAACGAGCCGAAUAACGUCGGGAAACAGGAGCUAACAGGUGCUAAUAUAUCAAAACGCAAGGUACCACAGGGAAAGUGGGUGAUGGGGGCUCUUGCGGCAGUGAUGGCGGGACCCGCGGUGCUUUGGAUAGUUGGGGGGUAACCGGGCUACCAAGGCUGCGAUGCAUAGCCGGCCUGAGAGGGUGGUCGGCCACACUGGGACUGAGACACGGCCCAGACUCCUACGGGAGGCAGCAGUAGGGAAUCUUCCGCAAUGGACGCAAGUCUGACCGAGCAACGCCGCGUGAGUGAAGAAGGUUUUCGGAUCGUAAAACUCUGUUGUUAGAGAAGAACAAGGAUGAGAGUGGAAAGUUCAUCCCUUGACGGUAUCUAACCAGAAAGCCACGGCUAACUACGUG